GAUGAAGAACGUAGCGAAAUGCGAUAAGUAAUGUGAAUUGCAGAAUUCAGUGAAUCAUCGAAUCUUUGAACGCACAUUGCGCCCGCCAGUAUUCUGGCGGGCAUGCCUGUUCGAGCGUCAUUUCAACCAUCAAGCCCCAGGCUUGUGUUGGGGACCUGCGGCUGCCGCAGGCCCUGAAAACCAGUGGCGGGCUCGCUGUCACACCGGGCGUAGUAGAUUUUAUCUCGCUCAGGGCGUGCUGCGGGUUCCGGCCGUUAAAAGCCUUUUUUACCCAAGGUUGACCUCGGAUCAGGUAGGAAGACCCGCUGAACUUAAGCAUAUCAAUAAGCGGAGGA
RNAcentral lists this unclassified non-coding RNA (335 nucleotides) under soil metagenome. RNAcentral describes it as "partial contains 5.8S ribosomal RNA, internal transcribed spacer 2, and large subunit ribosomal RNA". The stretch from base 1 to 120 matches the Rfam family "5.8S ribosomal RNA", at positions 35 to 154 of the family's 154-position model. The record is from RNAcentral.